RNAcentral lists this ribosomal RNA (854 nucleotides) under uncultured bacterium. RNAcentral's name for it is "bacterial SSU rRNA". It matches the Rfam family "Bacterial small subunit ribosomal RNA", at positions 60 to 907 of the family's 1533-position model. The record is from RNAcentral.
AGUCGAGCGGAGCGAGGGUGCUUGCACCUUAGCUUAGCGGCGGACGGGUGAGUAAUGCUUAGGAAUCUGCCUAUUAGUGGGGGACAACAUUCCGAAAGGGAUGCUAAUACCGCAUACGCCCUACGGGGGAAAGCAGGGGAUCUUCGGACCUUGCGCUAAUAGAUGAGCCUAAGUCGGAUUAGCUAGUUGGUGGGGAAAAGGCCUACCAAGGCGACGAUCUGUAGCGGGUCUGAGAGGAUGAUCCGCCACACUGGGACUGAGACACGGCCCAGACUCCUACGGGAGGCAGCAGUGGGGAAUAUUGGACAAUGGGCGGAAGCCUGAUCCAGCCAUGCCGCGUGUGUGAAGAAGGCCUUUUGGUUGUAAAGCACUUUAAGCGAGGAGGAGGCUACUAGUACUAAUACUACUGGAUAGUGGACGUUACUCGCAGAAUAAGCACCGGCUAACUCUGUGCCAGCAGCCGCGGUAAUACAGAGGGUGCGAGCGUUAAUCGGAUUUACUGGGCGUAAAGCGUGCGUAGGCGGCUUUUUAAGUCGGAUGUGAAAUCCCCGAGCUUAACUUGGGAAUUGCAUUCGAUACUGGGAAGCUAGAGUAUGGGAGAGGAUGGUAGAAUUCCAGGUGUAGCGGUGAAAUGCGUAGAGAUCUGGAGGAAUACCGAUGGCGAAGGCAGCCAUCUGGCCUAAUACUGACGCUGAGGUACGAAAGCAUGGGGAGCAAACAGGAUUAGAUACCCUGGUAGUCCAUGCCGUAAACGAUGUCUACUAGCCGUUGGGGCCCUUUGAGGCUUUAGUGGCGCAGCUAACGCGAUAAGUAGACCGCCUGGGGGAGUACGGUCGCAGACUAAAACUCAAAUG